UACAGAGGGUGCGAGCGUUAAUCGGAAUUACUGGGCGUAAAGCGCGCGUAGGCGGCUUUGCAAGUCGGGUGUGAAAUCCCCAAGCUUAACUUGGGAACUGCAUUCGAGACUGCAUUGCUAGAGUAUGGGAGAGGGAAGUGGAAUUUCCGGUGUAGCGGUGAAAUGCGUAGAUAUCGGAAGGAACAUCAGUGGCGAAAGCGACUUCCUGGAUCGACACUGACGCUGAGGCGCGAAAGCGUGGGGAGCAAACAGG
This 253-nucleotide ribosomal RNA is filed under the name uncultured bacterium. RNAcentral's name for it is "partial 16S ribosomal RNA". It matches the Rfam family "Bacterial small subunit ribosomal RNA", at positions 524 to 776 of the family's 1533-position model. The record is from RNAcentral.